This 4074-nucleotide long non-coding RNA is filed under the name Homo sapiens (human). RNAcentral describes it as "non-protein coding lnc-PERP-2:14". The record is from RNAcentral. Lineage: Eukaryota; Metazoa; Chordata; Mammalia; Primates; Hominidae.
ACUGCUUUUCUGAGAGGCCAGGUGGCAGGAUGUGGGACGACUCCAGCUGACAAAGACAGUCUAACCGUGGGGUAGGGGCUGGAGCAGGGGCCAGCGACCCACGUCUACAUGCAUACUUCUCUUACACUGCUGCUACUGGAAAAGCUGAACCCCGCGCCAGGACCCCAGCCCCCUGCAAGGACCCGUGAGCGUCUGGGAAGCUGUCUCUGGGACUGAAGCCCCCCACCUCCGCCGGGCUGGCGGCCACUGCGGUACCCUACGCCCCGUCGGGCUGGUCCUGCACAAUUUGGGAAAAAGCCGCAGCGCUUCUGCAAGGUCUACGUGGCCAUGAGCAUGCAACGCUUGGCUCCAAAAAAGACACGAAAGGAGCAAAGCGCCAACGACCACCCGAUCGGAGGGCCCGAGGGGCGCCUCUUCACCAGUCAGCUGCAGCUUAAGUUCCGUGCAUUAUCUGAAAGGAACAGCUGGCUGGAGGUAUCCAGGGCUGUCACUCCAACCUCUGCAGCAGUGACCUCAACUCCCAGCACUUCAAAACCCAGACAGAAACGUCCAACAAACUCCCAGUCCAGGAGCGCUGCAAAACCAACGCCAGUCUAGUUUGGGGUCUCUAUAAUCCUGCUCCUUUGGCUGCCAGCCAUCUCCAUAAAAAAAGAAUUUGAAAGGCUUCCAUUCUUUCAGAGACCUGUUUCCCGGGACUGGCUGCAAGGGAGAGAUGCACUGACCUUCUGCCAGGUAUAGAACUAUUGAAUGGUACAGUUUGAGAUCUUCGAAACCAUCAGGACUGAUCAUUUUCUGGCUACUUUCUACAUAGGAAUCCUAGAGUUCCUUGGAGAGGAUAUGAAGGUUAUUCUCAGGCCAUGCAGAUGGGCAAGAAAGGAUGUGCGUCCAUGGUUCCUCUUCAAAUCCAACCAAAACAGCCUUGCUUCCGUUGGCUUUAUAUAAUACUGCAACUCUUGAUAAUCUGAUUUAACACAAAUUUCCUCAUUGAGUUUCUCCUCAUGAAGAAACGGCCUCAGUGAGGUAAAUCGGAAUGCACAGGAGCACAUAGCAGGUUAGUGCAGACCAGAAAUCAAACCCAGGCUUUCUGACUGCUCAAUAGACCACAAUCUACCAUGCUACCAUGGAAACUUUAAAACAGAUGAAAGUAAAAACAAACAAACAACAACUUAAAAAAACAAAAACAAAAACAAAAGCAAAACCCAGAGCCUCUCUAGGAAAUACCAACGUGCUUUUGCCAAGUGGGGUUUCUCUCACUUCAUAAGAGCAGUAAACACUAAACCAAGGGAAUGUGAAUUUAGAGGUUAGAAAAGAUAACCAGAGAUUUGGCCGUGCGUGGGGCUCAUGCCUGUAAUCCCAGCACUUUGGGAGGCUGAGGCUGGUGGGUUGCCUGAGGUCAGGAGUUUGAGACCAGCCUGGCCAACAUAGUGAAACCCUGUCUCUACUAAAAAUACAAAAAUUAGCUGGGUGUGGUGGCGUGCACCUGUAAUCCCAGCUACUAGGGAGGCUGAGGCAGGAGAAUCGCUUGAACUGGAGAGGUGGAGGUUGCAGUGAGCCGAGAUGGUGCCAUUGCACUCCAGCCCGGGCAAGAAGAUUGAAAUUCCAUCUCAAAAAAAAAAAAAAAAGAAGAAGAAGAAGAAAAGAUGCCAGAGAUUUGGCGGGGUGCCGGGCUCAUGCCUGUAAUCCCAGCACUUUGGGAGGCCAAAUGGACAGAUCACUUAAAGUUAGGAGUUCCAGAAAAGAUGCCAGAGGUUGGGCCUUUACAUUGUUUUGUAAAUUCGUCAAACCUUAAUCUUAUUUAACUUCCCCACCUAUACAAAAAUUAAUGCAGUAAUUGCUUUUUAAGGAAGCAUUCCAAAGGCCAAAUAAUUCAUAUAUGUCAAGUACCCUGGGAUUCAGGAAAGAAAAAUUCUCUAUAGCUCUAAAGCAAGGAUUAUAAUUUGAGGUUUCCUGACAGUUUUUUUUAAGAAAAGAAAUACCAACCUUUCUUUUCUGGGCCAAAUGCCAAGGUAGGUAAUAACCCCUUGCCCAUUUUCUUUCCCCAAGCUGUUUUAACUAGAUAAGAGCUCUGCCUUCAUUUCCUUUUGUGAACUGACUUGGGAUGUUGCCACAUGCCCUUCAACUACUGUCAAUGCUCUAGUUUGCUGAGUGCUUUCCCCUUCAGAAUGGAAAAGGUUUUGGCAUAAAUAUCUAGCUUUCUUCAAGGUACAAAAUGCUUUCCAAGGAGCAGAGGACAGAGGGAACAAACUUUCAUGUUUCCCAAUUGUAUUAGUCUGUUCUCAUGCUGCUAAUAAAGACAUACCCAAGACUGUGUAAUUUAUAAAGGAAAAAGGUUUUACUGACUCACAGUUCCACAUGGCUGGGGAGGCCUCACAAUCAUGGUGGAAGAUGAAGGAAGAGCAAAGGGAUGUCUUCCAUGGCCAGCAAAAAGAGAAUGAAAGCCAAGGGAAGGAGAAAACACCUUAUAAAAUCAUCAGAUCUCAUGAGACUUAUUCACUACCAUGACAACGGUAUGGGUGAACUGCCCCCAUGAUUCAGUUAUCUCCCACCGGGUCCCUCCCACAAAAUGUGGGAAUUAUGGGAGCUACAAUUCAAGAUGAGAUUUGGGUGGGGACAGAGCCAAACCAUAGCACCAAUACUAGAUCCCUCAGCUUCAAGGUGGCUCCAGUGAUCCUAAGAGGAUCAAGGAAGCCCUACCUCCCUGCUUGUCCUGGAUGUCUCUGACACAUGUUAAGGGAAAAGCAUUAAUAAAGUGCUCAAGAAACAAUUGUUCAAUAGGUCAGUCUUAUAGUCAAUACCUCAUCCCAUGCUCUGUCCCCUACUCUUUGAAAAACUGCCCAAAGAAACAAUGGAUCCACGGAGUCACAAAAACAGGGCAUCCAGUGACCCUCCCCAUCUUACCAGCAAUGUGACUUUCCCACAGUAUAACGACAGCAGUGCCCAGAGCCCAAUACAAGCAGGGCUCUACACUGAGACAGAGCUGAGUUCUAGUAGCAACUACCCUCCUUAUAGCAGUGUUAUUUUAGGCAAGUUUCUCAGCUUCUGGAAGGUUCUUUUCUCAGGCUUACAUACUUUUUACCCGAAAAGAUCUUGGAGUCGUCCAUAUCAGCACAAGCAAUCUACAUUAUUAGUUUUUUUAAUGGCUGCACAGCAUUCCAUGAUAUGGCUGUACCAUUACUUAACUAUCGAUGAACAUUUAGGCAGUUUCCAGUCUCUUUCUGCAGGAGCCAAUGCUGCAAUGUGGUGGGUCAUAACUUUUUCUUUUUUUCAAAUGUGGUCUCACUAUUUCUUCCAGGCUGGAGUGUAGUGGUAUGAUCACAGCUCACUGCAGCCUCGAACUCCUGGACUCAAACAAUCCUCCUGUCUCAGCCUCCAGAGCAACUGGGAGUACAGGUGUGUGCCACCAUGCCUGACUAAGUUUUUAAAUUUUUUGUAGAGAUGGGGUCUUGCUAUAUUGACCAGGCUGGUCUUGAACUUCUGGCCUCAAGAAAUCCUCCCACCUGGGCCUCCCAGAGUGCUGGGAUUACAGGAAUGCACCACUGUGCCCAGCCCUAAAUAACUAUUUUUAUUUCCCUUUCUGUAACCGCUCAUCUUUUGUGCAUUUUUCCUUGGGUAUUGGCCUUCUUAUCAAAGUUUAAGAACUGUUUAUAUAUAGGGAUUAACCCUUAGUCUGUUGUAUGAAUUGCAAAUAUACAUGUAUUUUUAUUUGUAUAUGCAAAGUUUGUCUUUUAUCUUUGUAUAUGGGAUAGUUUUCCAAACACAGUUUUAUUUUAUUUUAUUUUUCAUCUUGCAUGUCUUUCCAAAGUACCAAGCAGAGUUUUUUUAAAAGUUGUUUUAUGGCUUCUGGGUUUUUUAAGUCAUAUUUAGAAAGAUCUUUCCCACUCUGAAAUUAAAAAAAUAAAUAAAUAAAAUCUCCCAAUUAAAAAAAAUUUGUGACUUUGUUUUUCAUAUUUAAAUAUUUAUUCCAUCUGGAAUUUAUUUUAUUUUAAGCUGUAAAGUAGAGACCUCAUUUUAUUGUAUUUCUCCAUAUGGCCACCCAGUUGUUACAAUACCAUUUACUAAAUAAUACAUCAAUUG